RNAcentral lists this ribosomal RNA (254 nucleotides) under uncultured bacterium. RNAcentral's name for it is "partial 16S ribosomal RNA". It matches the Rfam family "Bacterial small subunit ribosomal RNA", at positions 524 to 776 of the family's 1533-position model. The record is from RNAcentral.
UACGAAGGGGGCUAGCGUUGUUCGGAUUUACUGGGCGUAAAGGGCGCGUAGGCGGUCGUGACAAGUCACUUGUGAAAUCUCCGGGCUUAACUCGGAACGGUCAAGUGAUACUGUCGGACUAGAGUACAGAAGGGGCAACUGGAAUUCUCGGUGUAGCGGUGAAAUGCGUAGAUAUCGAGAGGAACACCUGCGGCGAAGGCGGGUUGCUGGGCUGAUACUGACGCUGAGGCGCGAAAGCCAGGGGAGCGAACGGG